CGACAUCACCGUGAGCUCGCAGCUGUGUGAUGACGUCACGUUGCUGCUAAACAGGAAGUAUUUUUAGCUCUGUUGCUAGCCGGCUAACACGCGCAAAGAAAACGAGGGGAAAAAAAGGCGAAAAGAGGGAAAGAGGGGGGUUGACGUUGAGGACACAUGCUGCGGGGCUUUGAGUCAGAAUGAAACAACACACACAUAAACACACUUACAUGUGAGAGCUGCCGUUCGUCGGACGAUCAAGACGGUUGACACCCGCUGUGAUUGACGGGGAGGAAGAGGACGGUCACGUGAACGAGGGGGGGAAUAAAAAUCCCUGGGCUCAGCCAAUCAGAGCACCCGUGGCAGAGUCAGUGGCGGCGUUAAAUCCCGCCCACCGCUCGCCAGAGGGAUCCCACAGCAGAUGCACCAAUGAGGACGCAGCGAGUGUAAGGCGGGGACGAAGUAAAUCUUUCAGAGGACACCAGUGAACACUAAAACAUGCCGAAGAUUCCCGCUGCUGCAUUUUGGAAGCACCGGAACGAAACACAAAACACAAAGUGGCCCAAAUCCUCAGUGACAUCAUCCCAAAAGUGGAACACAUCCUGAACACUGUACCAACAUCCUCAAAUGUUCCUCAAAACAUCCCAUAACCUGAAAUUAUCUCCAUCCCAAAACGGUCUACUUCCUGAAACGAGCCUGACAAAUGAUCCCCAAACAGCCAUAUCCAUAAACGCCUACUUUCUGAAAAUGUCCAAUAUCCUGAAACUGUCUAAUUCCCGAAACGAUCCACAUUUUUGAGAUCAUCCCAAAAACUUCUUGCAUCCCGAAACACACCAAAUCAUCCCAGAUCUUGAAAUUUUUCCCAGUCCCGAAAUGAUUCCUCACCUUCACGCCGUUGUCAUCCCAAAACACCUCUUAUCCUGAAAUGAUCCCCAUUGUAUAUAAUCCCUAUAUACUGAUGAGGGAGUACUCGAUGAAUCGAUUCAACCCUAGAGUCCACCGUUUUAGUCCGGGAUCCCAAAAUCCCUUUGUUGUGAUUAGGGAGUCGAGAAUGGAUGAUUACCGCGUUCGGAAUCAUCCAUCCAUUCCCGACUCCCAAAUCACUAUGUAGUGAUUUUUAGGAAUGAUCUCUGUCCAAUAUAUGAAAAUCCAUAUGCAAUUGAUGACGGGAAUGACAGGUUGAACUGACUGCGUUGCCGGGCCGUCGGCAUCUUAUGAGCGUGAAGCGGCUGUGGUUCUUCUUGCUGCGACUCUUGGCCUUCCUCAGUUCUUCGGAGCGCUCGUAGUCGGCCAGGUCCAAAACCUCCUGAGCCUUGCGCUCGUCCCUCACCUGAGAAGGAAAAGUGGAGAGACGUCACGGCAACCCUCUCACACUCACUUCUGAAACGCUCUCUUACACGCACUACGGAAGGCUGUCAAACACUACUGAAACACUCUCACAUCACUGCUGUUUUUUUCCCCCCUCACACACUACUAAAAUGCUCUCACACUACUGAUUAUUUUUUUGGAUUUGUUUUGCUCACAUACGACAUUGAAAUGCUUUUUUGCCGCCCGCAUACACUACUGAAUUGUUAACGCUCUCAAAUGCUACGACUCUCACACAACACUGAAUUUCUUUCGCUCGCUACUGAAAAGCUCUCACACUAUUUUACUGGAAUUUGUUCACUCUCACACUUGAAAUGCUACACGCAAUACUUAAAUGUUUUUUGCUCUCACACUUACACACAGUACUAAAUUCUUUGCUCACGUGCUCCUAAAACACUCUCACACAUUACCGAAAUGCUCACACACGACUGAAACGCUUUCAUGCCACUCCUGAUUUGUCAAACGACGACUCGGUGCGGAACCAUGCACACUGCGCCGCCAUUCAGCUGCGGUCCCUGUUACGUAAGAAGGCGGCGGGUACAAAAGAGUCAAUAAGCGUGUCGAUAUGUGACCAACAUGACAUUGGCGCCACACACAAACACAAACGCACAACCUUUAACGUGCCUUCCUGUGAGUUCGCUACUUACAAGAACGUGACAUCGUUAACAGCAAAUGGGAUUCAUAAUAAUGCCUCUCUUGGAUCAUCAGUACGGCACUAAUAUUCGUCAUUCUACCCUAACCAAUCGGCCAACAGAUGUUGUCGUGGAGAUGAUGCAAACGGAGCUACGGCGCAAAGGGAAGCUCGAAAAUGACUGCGUUUGUGUAAACGUGCAUUUGUGUGGGCAUCAGUGUGUGUUUGCGUGUCUGCGUGAGAAUGAAUGCUCAUCAGCGUGCAUUAGCGCGCGUGUAUCAGUGGGUGUGUGUGCGUGUUGGUGUGUAUCAGCUGCAGGCUCAGUCGUGUCACAUGAUCUUUGAUUCAGUCGCACGUGCUGACUGCUCAGCCAGCAGCCUGCGAAUUUGGGUUUGUACGGGAGCGUGUGUGUGUGUGUAUUUGGAUGUGACUAUGCGUGUUUGAACGUGAAUGUCUGCAUUCAUGUGUGUUUGUAUGCAUUUGUAUAUAAGUGUGUGCAACUAUGAGUGUGUGUUCGGAUUUGAGUGUAUGUUAGGGUUAGGUGUGUGAGUAUGUUAGUGCACGGGUGUGUGUGUGUGUGUGUGUGUGUGCGCGCGAGUGUGAAUUUGUGUGUGUACAGUAGGUGUGUGUGUCCAUAUGAGAGUAUGUGUAUUUGAGUUUAGAUUUGGGUGUGUGUGUGUAUUUGUGUGCUCACGUGUACGUGAAUGUGUGCGCGUGUAUUUGAGUGUACUUUUUGUGAGCGUGUCGUCUGCGCACGCAUUUCAGUGUGCAUGCGAGUGGGGAAAACAGAAGUAUGCACGAUGCGCGUUGUCCCGACCUCCUUGUCCGAUAUGAACAAGUGUUCUCCUCUGAGGACCACGUAGCGACUCCUCCAAAGUUCCCUGAAGAUCCCGCGGCCGCAGAACUUCCUCAGCCAGCCAAACUUGUCCGGCUGCGGCGGGCCCAGGUGGGCCGGGUCCUCAGGGCCCUGGGGGACAAAACGCACGAACGCACACACGGAUCUGAACAUGAUUGCGUGUGCUAGCUAUCGUGGCAUGUUAGCCACGAGCUAACAGGUAAGUGUGAGGUGUGUCGGUGUUUUGCGCCCCCUGCUGGAGGGCAGCGGCAGCGUUUGCCCGCAGGCGGUGCGACUUAAGUGAGUGACCUACUUGCAUUAUGUAACAAAAAAACAGCUUGAUGCACUACCGCUGUAAUCUAUUACUCUCACCGGUCAAUUUAUUAAGUACACCAUGGAAUGACUUCUUCCACAUUGGUAAUAUUGUUGCUAAUUAUGCUUCACAGAGAUGUUUCUAAUAAUCUGAUCAGCAGCUACACAAAAGGGUCAUAUUUGGAACACUUGUGAUGCACUGCAGCACGUUAAUGAACCUUUUUUUGUUGCUUUAAUUAAAUGGCAUUAUUAAUGAACUCAUAUUUGAUGGCGUACCUAAUGAAGUGGCCAGGGAGCGCAUCCACAGAAGAAGGCGAUGAAGAUGGAUGAGCGAUGAAGGUGCGAACUUAUGAAUGGAUGUUUGAUGUUGAUGAUGGCCGGAUGAACGUGUAGUGGCCGUGCACGAGCGUAGCACAGGGUGCGCGUGUUCCUACCGGUCCUGCGUGGUUGCUCUUCUUCAUGCUCGCUCAGCUUCUUCUUCUCCUCUUUCAGCGUCUUGUCGUUCUUCUCUUCGUCUGUUGUCUGGCGGGAGGGAGGUGGCGUCCUCCCUGGGUGCGCGCGCGUGCGUGGAUGCGUGCGUGCGUGCGCGCAGAUGCUCCCCCUCGCCGUGCGCGCGCACUUUUAACC
Molecule: RNA transcript, 3749 nt
Organism: Phycodurus eques (leafy seadragon)
Lineage: Eukaryota; Metazoa; Chordata; Actinopteri; Syngnathiformes; Syngnathidae
Gene name: ribonuclease Y-like
Exons: 3
Source: RefSeq, a predicted model, not a curated record